RNAcentral lists this long non-coding RNA (528 nucleotides) under Vigna radiata. RNAcentral describes it as "long non-coding RNA (VRAD_LNC000718)". Lineage: Eukaryota; Viridiplantae; Streptophyta; Magnoliopsida; Fabales; Fabaceae. The record is from RNAcentral.
AACCCUCUUGGUUUGUUAUUCCACGCUAAUAAUUCCGCUGCAGCCGAUUCUAACACUCCGCCUUCAUCAAAUGUGGGUACCUGUACAGUUUCACAUUAAUUGGGUCCACUCCCUCCUUGAUAGGUAUUUUGUGGUCUCUGUGUCUGAUAUGAGGAAGUUCCUUUGGUUCCCUGAGAAUCCCAUCAAACUCACCCAAGAUUUGCUCUAAGUCUUCAAUCUGGUUGUGAGUCAAAUGCAUCACUCCCCUACCUCAAUCUUUCAAUUCUGUUUGACUCAACCCCUAUACCAAAGUGAUUGCCUCUAUCUCCUUUUCCUUCAGUAAAGCUUUUGGAGACACCACCUUCCUUGUCAAAGGAGGGUCCCCCCUUUUCAUCCCUUCCUCAACCUUUUGACUAAAUUAUAUUGUCAGGUUCGCCCGAUUAAUUUUAACUUCUCCUAGCAAUGCAACCAAGCUACCCCCAAUACGAGGUCUACUCCUUCUAACUCAAACAGGUAAAAACUCUCACUGACUUCCACCCCUUCCAAGAC